GGGAUGAUAACUCAGAUGGUAGAGUGUCCGGUUGAAGCCCGGAUCGCGGAGGUUCGAUCCCUUCUCGUCCCA
This 72-nucleotide transfer RNA is filed under the name Enterocloster clostridioformis. RNAcentral describes it as "tRNA-Phe". It matches the Rfam family "tRNA". From Rfam's summary of the family: Transfer RNA (tRNA) molecules are approximately 80 nucleotides in length. Their secondary structure includes four short double-helical elements and three loops (D, anti-codon, and T loops). Further hydrogen bonds mediate the characteristic L-shaped molecular structure. tRNAs have two regions of fundamental functional importance: the anti-codon, which is responsible for specific mRNA codon recognition, and the 3' end, to which the tRNAs corresponding amino acid is attached (by aminoacyl-tRNA synthetases). tRNAs cope with the degeneracy of the genetic code in two manners: having more than one tRNA (with a specific anti-codon) for a particular amino acid; and 'wobble' base-pairing, i.e. permitting non-standard base-pairing at the 3rd anti-codon position. The record is from RNAcentral. Lineage: Bacteria; Bacillati; Bacillota; Clostridia; Lachnospirales; Lachnospiraceae.